Molecule: ribosomal RNA, 244 nt
Filed under: uncultured bacterium
Lineage: Bacteria
Description: partial 16S ribosomal RNA
Rfam family: Bacterial small subunit ribosomal RNA
Source: RNAcentral
GAUUAACGCUGGCGGCGUGCAUGAAACAUGCAAGUCGAGCGCGGCACCUUCGGGUGUCUAGCGCGCACGGGUGAGUAACACGUGAGCAACCUACCUCCGAGUUCGGGAUAGCCCUGAGAAAUCAGGAUUAAUACCGGAUGGUGUCAUCUCGAGGCAUCUCGAGAUGAACAAAGGCGCAAGCCGCUCGAUGACGGGCUCGCGGCCUAUUAGCUUGUUGGUGGGGUCACGGCCUACCAAGGCGAAG